Molecule: ribosomal RNA, 688 nt
Filed under: Escherichia coli
Lineage: Bacteria; Pseudomonadati; Pseudomonadota; Gammaproteobacteria; Enterobacterales; Enterobacteriaceae
Description: partial 23S ribosomal RNA
Rfam family: Bacterial large subunit ribosomal RNA
Source: RNAcentral
GGUUGCGGACAGUGUCUGGUGGGUAGUUUGACUGGGGCGGUCUCCUCCUAAAGAGUAACGGAGGAGCACGAAGGUUGGCUAAUCCUGGUCGGACAUCAGGAGGUUAGUGCAAUGGCAUAAGCCAGCUUGACUGCGAGCGUGACGGCGCGAGCAGGUGCGAAAGCAGGUCAUAGUGAUCCGGUGGUUCUGAAUGGAAGGGCCAUCGCUCAACGGAUAAAAGGUACUCCGGGGAUAACAGGCUGAUACCGCCCAAGAGUUCAUAUCGACGGCGGUGUUUGGCACCUCGAUGUCGGCUCAUCACAUCCUGGGGCUGAAGUAGGUCCCAAGGGUAUGGCUGUUCGCCAUUUAAAGUGGUACGCGAGCUGGGUUUAGAACGUCGUGAGACAGUUCGGUCCCUAUCUGCCGUGGGCGCUGGAGAACUGAGGGGGGCUGCUCCUAGUACGAGAGGACCGGAGUGGACGCAUCACUGGUGUUCGGGUUGUCAUGCCAAUGGCACUGCCCGGUAGCUAAAUGCGGAAGAGAUAAGUGCUGAAAGCAUCUAAGCACGAAACUUGCCCCGAGAUGAGUUCUCCCUGACUCCUUGAGAGUCCUGAAGGAACGUUGAAGACGACGACGUUGAUAGGCCGGGUGUGUAAGCGCAGCGAUGCGUUGAGCUAACCGGUACUAAUGAACCGUGAGGCUUAACCUU